This 3649-nucleotide long non-coding RNA is filed under the name Nicotiana tabacum (common tobacco). Its description in RNAcentral is "long non-coding RNA (NTAB_LNC003786)". The record is from RNAcentral. Lineage: Eukaryota; Viridiplantae; Streptophyta; Magnoliopsida; Solanales; Solanaceae.
GUCUAUGGAGUUAGAAUCAACAAGAACGCAUUUAUAAUUCCUGUAAAUCAACCAAGCAAGACAAUUAGGUAUAUGUCUAUCCUAACCACGAAUCCGUUUCCCGAUGCCCGAGUUCAAGAACUUGCUCUACUCAAUCCUAUAUGCAAUAUAGAAUUCCCACUUUCGAGUUCAAUUCUAGAUUCGUAGAUAGUAUUCAAUUGGUGAUCAAGCAAUUAAAUAAUUAAGCGCAAGAUUGAAUAAAUAAACCAAUAUGAUAAAUCAAGAAGGCAAAAUCAAUAUCCGAAUAACAAGUCAUGAAAGAACCACAACCCUAGAACGUGAAGUUUAGCUCCACAUAGACAUGGUAGCCAAACAACAAAUCAUACAAAGAAACAUAAAAAUUACUAAGUUUGGUGAGAGAAAGAUGGAACUUGAUGAAUUUCGGCCUCCACGGCGGCUCUGUGCUUGUGUUUUUCUCUCCAAAACGUCCUCUCCUUUUUAAAAUAGGUUUAGGUUGGUUUUUAUAUGAGUUGGGGGCAUCUUGGGAUCGAAAUAACCGAGUCCCGGCCGAAAUAGGACAUGUUCACGUUUUUGAGCGUCCAGGGCAGCGUGGGGCGCUGGCCCUGGCGCUCAAAUAUUUUAGCUGCUGUAAAUUGCGCCACAGCCAGCGCUGUGGCCCUCAAAUUUCACUUUUUGCCUUUUUGUCCCGAUUUCGCUUCAAUUCGCGCUCGUUCGUCCCAAAUUGCAUCCGAAUGAUCCCUACAUAUAGAAAUACCAAACUUUAGCACAAAUAAUCACAUUAACCAUCUCAAAUCGUUGAGACAUGAGCAAAAUGUGAGGCGAUAUAUAUCAAAAUAUGCAUACAUUAAGCCGAUUAUCAAUUAACUACCUCUAUCCUAAAUAAGUAGGAAUCGGCUAUAUAAAUCAUAUGUAACCAUUAUGCUCUUUAUCGGUUCAUUUCAUAUCAGUACUAAAUAAUUUCCUUUUAAGGGAAAUUAGGGGUUCCUAGUAAUAGAGGUUCUCUAAAUUUUGCCCUUAUCCAACACGAACAUACAAGUCUCUAACCAGAAUAAAAGGACUCUUAAGAAAAACAGUGGACUACAUCGGCAACCCCUUUAACUUGUUUUCACUUUCCACUUUUACAUUUAUUCUUAAGAUCGUUCCAUUUAAACACUUCAACCAACCCUUUAAUGUGUCAUCCAGACACUAAAAUUUUAGGCAGCCAAACAGGAUAGAUGCUUGUAAUUCACACGCCAGAAUAACCAAUAAGAAAAAGACACGUGGAUUUAACUUCAAAAGGAAACUUUUAAAAAAAGAAAAAAGUUAAAAGAAAAAGAACCCUCCAUCAUCUUCCCGACCCCCCAACCCAAACUUCUUCUGCCAGUAAAAACGUGGGCGUCUUCUUCAUCAUUCUUUCAUCUUUCCUUUUAAUAAUCAAACAAAUUCUUCCACAAACCUCCAAUUUAUACAUUCAGUUAUUCAACAUUGGUAGAUCUGAAAUAUAACAAAACAAAAAAAAUUUAAUUUGGACAUAAAAUAAAUUUAGAAGUGAGUGAAUUGCACGAUCAUUACCUGGCUGGACAUAAAGCGCCGGAGGUUCUUCCCUAGGUUGUAAUCUAUCUCCCCACUAAAAUUUGGAGCAUUCCAACUUCAAAAUUGGCAACUCCGAUGAAGCUCCAAGCUCCGGCGAGCUCCAUUUGGCCGAAAAUGGUGUUCAAGCCAAUCAAAUGCAGCAAAACCAAUGCCAAACAGUUUCUGCACCUUGAGCGAGUGUUUCUAACCCCUCUUCUUCAGGUUUGAUUCACUCAGCUGCAACGAAUUUGAAAAUUGGAGAAUUUGGCAAGUUGAGCAUACAAGAUGUUCGACAAAAUGCCAGUUCCAAUUUCACGCCAAUUCGACAGGGUUCAUAUAUUGUACAUGCUUCUUCUCAUCAAAUACAAUCCCCCCAUAUAGUUUUUGAGAAAGAAUAGUUGGACCGAUUUGAGUAGUUCUUGUCCAUAUAUGAACUCUAAAUUUUUCGGCCAGAACGCUACUUUUAGUCAUGACUGUUUUUGAGUAAGUCUUGAAAUGGAAGCUUGGAUCUUAAAAACGAGAUAAUCAUUAAAUUCUAUGUAUUAAAGCAGAAGCUUCGAUCUUGAAACAGAAGCUUGGCAUAACUUAGAAUUACUCCUUUGUGUACAUAGUAUUUUUAUCCUACACUGAAAAUUUAAAAGAGAAGUUUAGUGGAAAAUUUUCUGGCAAAAACUAUUUAUUUUCGGGCAAUAAGUAUGAGGAGUUUGUUUUUUGGACCAUUUCACGCGCUUGAAAAAUGUGAGAAACAUUCACCUUGUCAUAUCAGCUUUUUGUGUCUAGAUGACACACUAAAGGGUUGGUUGGAGUGUUUAAAUGGAACGACCGUAAGAAUAAGUGUUAAAGUGGAAAGUGAAAACAAGUUAAAGGGGCUGCCGAUGUAUUCUGCUCAAGUAUAACAACAAAUAGUACUUAAUUCCAUGUUAGCUAAUUUACUUUCUAAAUGUGCUGUUUAAAUGUUAUAUUAGCAUAAAUGUUGAUGGACAUAUUUUUUGAAUAAUAAUAUCCUUUUUGUUGAUGUGUAAAAGUUCGACCGCCAGAGCUGAGUUUCCUGGAGCUAAAGCGGUAAUGGAUGGAUUUGGUGGUGGAGAUCUAUCGAUUUCUAGGCUACAACAAAUACAGAGGUCCUGAUGUUUGAUUCAAAAGCUAAUUGCUUCAAAAUUUUCCAGCGAGUGUAAUUGUGAUGCUGUAAAAUUAGUUAUAUGAGAUAUGUACUGUAAGUAAAAUGUAUUGCUCUAGCAGCCAUUUACUUUCUAUAAUUAUCCAUUUAUGGAAUUACUUCUCAAUUUUGAGCUUCAUUCCACCUUUCUGGAAAAUUUUCAAACUUUCUGGUGCUAUUCUUAAUCUUCAUUAUGCUGUUGCGGUUCCAACUACGUGUCUGAAUGAGCAUUUCUUUUUUUGGACAGUGUUAAUGUUUAAGUAGAUUGUUUCAGAAUUAUUUCUUUGUCCCUCACUAAAAAAGAACUCAGAGAUGAGUUCGUUUAUAAGGCGGAACUCUAAAAUGCUUGUUAAGUAUCUGCAAAAAUGCAAUCGACUAGGUAAAUCUUGCCCAUACGUAGCAUUGAAGUUAGGAGUUUUAACUAUAAAAAGUGUUAUCUGUCUAAUUAGUUUAAAAUGGGCACAACUCAAAUCAACCCAUAAAAAGGGUUGGGUGAAUGUUAGCUCAUAUCAUUCUAUAAGAGUUAAUAAAUAAAGGGGAGAAAAGCCAAAUCAUUUUUAUUACAGGCUACAAUUUUACUUUGCGCUGCAAUUAGUCAUUUUUGCAACUUGAUUAUACAGUUCCAGGUUAAAGAAAACCAAAGGAAAAGUACUUAACUAGUUUUCUAAGUUGGGACAUAUGAGUUAUUGCUUGAUAUAAUUUGCUAAACAUAUCUACGAAAUUCAUCCUUCAUGAAAUUAAUCAAGGUUGAAGUAUAUGAAUUUCCUACAAGUCUGCAAUAUUCUUUCCACCACCGCAUGAAGCUGCUCUGAGGCAAGAAAAUCUCAGGAGACACCAAGAAGUUAUUAAUCAUGUCCAUUACAUACUGCUCAAAUUUGAUCAGGUUUUCUCUAGCUGAUUCUUGGUCUUGUGCGCUGCUUUGUCGAUCCUUCAACACUUCAC